GUAUAGCUUUCUGUUAUGCUGUUUGUGGAGUACCGGUUGCCUUUGUUUUCUGCUUGUUGUUCUGUUUUUGGAUCUUUGUUUUUUGUGAAUUAAUAAACUGUACUUGGAUCUUAUGUUUUCCACAAGUGAUCUGUAACAUAAUACUGAAGACUACAUCAGAUCCAGCAGUUGGGCAGAGUUCUCUGUUUCUUUUAGACUAUGGGCAUUCAUCUUCUUCCUCCAGCCACUAGCAAGGAGCAGAUUUUUUUUUUUUUCAGGUUUCCAGCGGUGGGGCUGGAUUACAAUGAUGCGGUGCUCAAGGUUUUUUUUUUUUUAUUUUUUUAUUGGUUGCCUGGAUGAACCUCGGCCCUGUGAGAUGGAAGCACUUCAGACUCUGGGUUAUUGGGGUUUUGUUAACUAUCUGUUACCGUAGUUUGCAGGCCAGUCUGAGCCCAUUGCAGUGCACCCGGAGAUUCCAGAGUCUGCUGUAACCUCUCCAGAGAACAAUGAAGUUUCCCUAGCUCUGGUGGUCCUGGAGGACCCAACUACGGUUGUCCCGAGUCUGGUGGUCCUGAGUCUGGUGGUCCUGGAGGACUGACUCUGGUGGUCCUGAGUCUGGUGGUCCUGGAGGACCCGUCUCUGGUGGUCUGAGGCCACCCCAGAGCCUGCUGCAGUCUGGGAGCCCAAGAGAAAAGAGGUGAACCUCUGAAACCUUCCCUUUUUUUUCUUCAAGUGUCCCCUGCUCGCCUCCCUCAUUGACGGCCACAGGCUUCUUAUCAAGACAAGGUUUGAGCUCUGCCAUGUGGUUGGGUUUUACCUUGUUCACGCUCACACCUCCUCUGUUUGCUUCAUCUCCACAAGAUAUUUGCUGUCCAAUAAUCAACACCGUAAAUCGCUAUCAAAAGCUGUUGAUAUCACAACUCCUACUCACCACGAAGUGAUUUAUAAUAGUCCUGUGUCAUGUUAUAAGACUCCUGGAAUUCCUCUGAUAAGGGCUCAUACUGAGCUGAUUGCAGGAGAUUCUCACACGCAUUAAAACAAUGUGUAUUCAAAAUGAAUUUCAAUUCUUAUAUCGUUUCACCUUCAGUUUUCUUCAUUUUAAUUAUACGGGAAGAAUUUAUGUAAAUAUAUUGCUAUUAAAUGUUUGUUUAAAGUUACAAAUUUUGUUUUCAGUAAGAAAGCGUGAAGACGGAUGUUUCAUUUGUGCAGCAGCCCCCAAAAUAAUAUCUAAUGUGAUCCAGUACAUCUUGACUUAUUGACUAGCUUGUUAAAUAGCAAAAAUUGCUAUUUCAAAAGAUGCUGAAAAAUACAAAUAAUGAACAACCACAACAAAAAGACCUUACAACUGCAACAAUGUUUUUAACGGCAAGAAUAGUAAAUUCCAUAGAGGGUUAGUAAGUAAACUUUAUUUAUACAGCACAUUUAAACCUAGCAAAGCUAUCCAAAGUGCUAAACAAAGUAAAGGAAAGUUAAAGACAGAAUAAAACCAGACAAAACAGACAAAACAAAAUUGGAGUUUAAAAUGCUAAAGAGUAUGUUUUCAACUUCGAUUUACAGAUGGCAAUAGAGGGUGC
This is a long non-coding RNA of Cyprinus carpio carpio, 1553 nucleotides long. NCBI's taxonomy places the organism in Eukaryota, Metazoa, Chordata, Actinopteri, Cypriniformes, Cyprinidae. The record is from Ensembl.